This 208-nucleotide unclassified non-coding RNA is filed under the name plant metagenome. RNAcentral describes it as "partial contains small subunit ribosomal RNA, internal transcribed spacer 1, and 5.8S ribosomal RNA". The record is from RNAcentral.
UUUCCGUAGGUGAACCUGCGGAAGGAUCAUUCAUAAUAAGUGUUUUAUGGCACUUUUUUAAAUCCAUAUCCACCUUGUGUGCAAUGUCAGGGUUGGUCUCUUUUUGAUCAGCCCCAAACAUCAACUAUUAUCUCAACUCUUUGUCUGAAAAAUAUUAUGAAUAAAACAAUUCAAAAUACUACUUUCAACAACGGAUCUCUUGGCUCUC